GAUUAUAUUUUUAAAUGGGAUUAUAUUUUUAAAAAUGUAUUGAAAAUGUAUCCUUCUCUUAAAGAAGUUUUGCUUUUUACUAAUGAAAUGCUCAUUGCUUGAAAUAUUGAAAUGAUUGUGCCUAUUGCUUAAGUUUCGUUUUCAGGGUGGGGUUUUUUCCACAGAAGUAUGACAAGAGGUUUUUCUAGAGAAACGAAAGCAAAAAUGUAUUAGGGGAGGGGAAGGGAAGUUCUCUGUGUGUGCAGGCUGCUGGCUGCUUCUGACUGGCUGAGAUGAAAUCUGAUGAUGGGCAGGCGAACAAUGGAUUGGAGGCUACAAAGAAAAGGGGAGGAGGCAGCAAAACAAAACCAACUGUGAUAUUACUGAACGGCAAUACUGGACUGCCCGGUGUGCCUUUUACAUUGUGGCUGUUUUGUAUUCCUGAGCUCAGACAUUGUUGAUCUGAUUCUCUUUUAUUAAAUUCGAUUACUUGAUAAAGCUAAGUUCUCUGCGUCUACUUUCAAGCGAAUCCUGAACGUGGGGAGGGGAAAAUCUAUUUCCUACAAUUUGGAGGGGGCACCCGGAUUCGCUCAGACGCUUCGUCGAGUUGGAGGACGAUCCCAAAUCAACCUCUCUGCGCAGAGCUUCUAAUAAGAAAAAUUGGCCAACAGAGAGUGAGACAGCCAGGCCUGCAGAAAACACAACGCUGUGGGUGAGAUUGAAACAACACAAACGAAAAUGGUCUAGUCCCAGGUGGUCUGAACCGUUACGAGUCACGGCUAGGACAUCCCAUUGUGUGCAAUUAGCAGGUAAAGGCACAACAUGGUAUCAUUUGUCUGCUUGUAUGUUCUGUCCUUCUCCAAAUAGGACUUUGGCGGAUGUCAGAGUUGACCUCAGGAGAGGUCAAAGAGAGGGAGAAGGAGAAGGAGACACUGAGGAGCCUGAGGAGCCAGAAAGAGAGGGAGAAGGCGGGGAAAGAAGCGGACAAAUAGAAACAGCCCCAGCCCCCAGAACACAGCUAAGCGCAACCCCUGUUUUUAAAAUCUUGCAACGAACUGGAGACUUGCUCCAGACGCCAGAACACAUUCCCAUUGCACAUUGUAUAAGUGCUGAUUAUGCACUGGGGGCUGGGGUAGCUAAACAAAUUAGAGACAAAUACGGUGUAGAAGAAUUGAACACUUCAGUCGCCCAACCAGGGGAUUGUAUCAAAACUACACACGGUCCACGACAAAUUUACCAUUUGGUGACCAAAUGGUGGUGUAGGGACCUACCCACCUACGAGCAUCUCGAGGCUAGUCUGAUAAAAUUGUGUUACCAGUGUAAGAAGGAUCAAAACAAAAUAUUGGCUAUACCAAAAUUAGGGUGUGGAUUAGACAAACUAGACUACAUCAAAGUAAAAGAAAUCAUUGAGAAAGUAUUUAAAGAGGGCCACAUUCAGAUAAUUCUCCUAACAAAAUGAAUAUAAACAAGAUGGUGGUGGCCUGGGGAGCAAUGUUGGUGAUAAUCCUAUGGGUAAUCUGUCAUAUGAAAGUCAGAGGGACAACAAAGAAAAAACGUAGUGUAAAAGAAGGGGGGGGAACAGGGGUGCGUAUUACCUUAGAAAGGGAAGAGGGAAAGGAUGGGAUGUGGCAGUUUGAUCUCUGUCAAGUAAUAGAUUGCGGGAGGGAUCAAUUGACAUGGAGGGGAUAUGAUGUUUAUGGGUGUUUAUGGGUCUCAACUGAGAGAACCCCGAAUGGUCCCUGGUGUCACACCUGGCAUGAUGUAAAUUGGAAGACAGCCCCAGGGUUCACAAAAAAUCUGUUAAAAAAUAGUCCUCUAGCCAAAACAGACAGCAUCCAAAAUCGACUUAAGUUGUUUAGAGGAUACCAGCAUAGUUGGGGAGGGGGAUGACGUGAUGGAGGAAGUAGAGGAGGAAUAUGACUUAUAAAUGUUGUUUGUUUUUGUUUUUUUUUUUUUUUUCUCCCAAUAACUGUGCUUCUUUGCAGAUGCUGAUUCAUCACAAGUUAUGUGUUUUUUAGAUAUUGAUGUUUGAGAAAUUUGCUGUUUGAAAAUGUGUUAAGAUUUAAAUUUUGAUUACUGAAAUGUUUGUAGUCUAGAUAAUUUCAGUGUGAUUGACUCAGCUGACAUGUUGUGGUUGCCCAAACGUCAAUUAGGGGAUCGACUGGGUGCCUUUCCCCACAGGGGUUUUCGGCCCAGUCCAGCCUGAGCACACUGGUUUGUAGGGAAUGUUAUUUUUUUAUUAUUACGUUUUAAGUACUUGUCUUUCUAGUAGUCUGAUAUGAUGUGUCAGGUGAACAUGUGGUGGCUGCCCAUAAGCUAACUAGGGGGCCGCUUGGGUGUCUUUCCUCACAGAGGUUUUCGACCCAAGCUCAUCUGGACAUAUUGGACCAAGAAUUCUGAGAUUUUUUAAGUGUUUAUUAAAGUGGUGUGAUCUCUUACGAGAUCAAGAGAGGGAAUUGAGGGAUUAUAUUUUUAAAUGGGAUUAUAUUUUUAAAAAUGUAUUGAAAAUGUAUCCUUCUCUUAAAGAAGUUUUGCUUUUUACUAAUGAAAUGCUCAUUGCUUGAAAUAUUGAAAUGAUUGUGCCUAUUGCUUAAGUUUCGUUUUCAGGGUGGGGUUUUUUCCACAGAAGUAUGACAAGAGGUUUUUCUAGAGAAACGAAAGCAAAAAUGUAUUAGGGGAGGGGAAGGGAAGUUCUCUGUGUGUGCAGGCUGCUGGCUGCUUCUGACUGGCUGAGAUGAAAUCUGAUGAUGGGCAGGCGAACAAUGGAUUGGAGGCUACAAAGAAAAGGGGAGGAGGCAGCAAAACAAAACCAACUGUGAUAUUACUGAACGGCAAUACUGGACUGCCCGGUGUGCCUUUUACAUUGUGGCUGUUUUGUAUUCCUGAGCUCAGACAUUGUUGAUCUGAUUCUCUUUUAUUAAAUUCGAUUACUUGAUAAA
Danio aesculapii is the source of this 2918-nucleotide long non-coding RNA. RefSeq lists it as uncharacterized. NCBI's taxonomy places the organism in Eukaryota, Metazoa, Chordata, Actinopteri, Cypriniformes, Danionidae. The record is from RefSeq and is a predicted model, not a curated record. The transcript has 2 exons.